Molecule: ribosomal RNA, 496 nt
Filed under: uncultured Glomeromycotina
Lineage: Eukaryota; Fungi; Glomeromycota
Description: partial small subunit ribosomal RNA
Rfam family: Eukaryotic small subunit ribosomal RNA
Source: RNAcentral
CCAAUAGCGUAUAUUAAAGUUGUUGCAGUUAAAAAGCUCGUAGUUGAAUUUUGGGUUUGGCCGAUUGGUCCGUUCUUGUAACGAGUACUGGUCGGUUGGGCCUCACCGCCUGGUGAUACGUAAUGUCCUUUAUUGGGUGUUGCGAGUAGCCAGGACCUUUACCUUGAAAAAAUUAGAGUGUUUAAAGCAGGCUUAUGCCGGAAUACAUUAGCAUGGAAUAAUAGAAUAGGACGAUGAUUCUAUUUUGUUGGUUUCUAGGAGCAUCGUAAUGAUUAGUAGGGAUAGUUGGGGGCAUUAGUAUUCAAUUGUCAGAGGUGAAAUUCUUGGAUUUAUUGAAGACUAACUACUGCGAAAGCAUUUGCCAAGGAUGUUUUCAUUAAUCAAGAACGAAAGUUAGGGGAUCGAAGACGAUCAGAUACCGUCGUAGUCUUAACCAUAAACUAUGCCGACUAGGGAUCGGGCGAUGUUGUUUCAAUGACUCGCUCGGCACCUUAUG